ACCAAAACAAAGGGUCUUGGGAAUCACCCAUGUUCAGAAAAGAAUUGGUGUUGGAAGAAGAACAGUCCCAAAACAAGAUGAAGUCAUCGAAAUUCCUCUUCUUAAGAGCCCUGAGCAAAUGCUGCAAGAUCCAGCCAUAUUAGAUCAGGACUUGUUUACUACACAUUGGGUAACAUUUUACCACGAUAUCGGUCGCAGCUGAAAGCAAUACAACUGAUUUCAAUUGCAAGGAGACCUAUAUUUACUGAUUUAAAAGAUGCAGUGUGUAUGUUCAUAAUAAAUAUCAUCACAUUGUGAAAUAUUGCCUAUCAAAUAUUUUUUUGAGAACUAAAAUAUCAUAUCUUUGUCAUAAUAUGUGAUUUAGUUUGUUCAAAAGCAAUUAAAACUGCUAAAAUGCAAAAAA
Molecule: long non-coding RNA, 403 nt
Organism: Xenia sp. Carnegie-2017
Lineage: Eukaryota; Metazoa; Cnidaria; Anthozoa; Malacalcyonacea; Xeniidae
Exons: 2
Source: RefSeq, a predicted model, not a curated record